GCGCGGUCCUGUUUUCACAAGUUCUGUGGGCUUCGCCUCACGUGGUGUGUCGGGGAGAACAGCGUGGGACUUGGAGUGGGCGCCUCAAUCUUUCCUAGAACCUGCAGGGGGAAGUGGUGGCGGUGGUGUAUCCCUAGACUCCCUGCGCAGCCGUGAACAGCAGUGCGGCCGCACAGCAAACAGUGGAGAAGACCCGAGGAGCCCGCCAAGCUCUGGUGCCCGGGGGAGUGGAGACGGCGCCGAAAGAGCCAAGGGCAACGCCAGUAUGCCAGUAUGCCGGAUGGUCCUGGCUGCUCUGGACUCCCCCAGGUUGUGAAGGCAGAGAAUAGGGCGGCCCGAUGGUGGAGAGAGCGGCCGUUGUGGAGAAGCUACCAAGUGGUCCGGAGCAGGAGGAGGAAGGCGAGGAAAGCCUGCGGUUUGACCUCAUGGUGCCUUUCCUGACCUUCGUGGAUGCAGAGACCUCGUGGUACCGGACCCGGGAUGAGGAGUCCCUGGAAGGAGCGGUUCACGGGUAGCUCGGAGUGGCUGGCAGGGACCUGGUGAUUCGAGUAACUGAGUAACUUCGAAAACUCCAGCCUCCUCCACAGCUCUGUCUCCUCCCUGCUCUGCCAGCCGGCUUUCUACAGUGGUGACUACCCUGAGGUUCUCGGUGCCUGAGUCCUUCAAGCCUCCUGUGGGGUAGGGGGCUGGGGCUCGCAGCGCUCCGACCCUCACCCACUGUACCCUUCCCUAGGGCAAAAAACGCACAACAGUUGCUUUGCCGGGGCAGGGAGGGUGGUGCUGGUGAUCUUUUCCCUGUGCUUGUCCUGGGAUGGCUCAAUGUUUGCCAACAUUGAAAAUAAAAUAAAGCUGAAACCGG
This is a long non-coding RNA of Rattus rattus (black rat), 859 nucleotides long. RefSeq lists it as uncharacterized. The record is from RefSeq and is a predicted model, not a curated record. The transcript has 3 exons. NCBI's taxonomy places the organism in Eukaryota, Metazoa, Chordata, Mammalia, Rodentia, Muridae.